AAGUCGAACGAACCGACAGGGUGCUUGCACCCUUGACGUUAGUGGCGAACGGGUGAGUAACACGUGGGGAACCUACCCCUUAGCGAGGGAUAACUAGCGGAAACGUUAGCUAAAACCUCAUAGACCAAGAGUCGCAUGACUCGAUGGGGAAAAGUGCUUCUGGUACUACUAAGGGAUGGUCCCGCGGUGCAUUAGUUAGAUGGUGGGGUAACGGCCUACCAUGACAGUGAUGCAUAGCCGGCCUGAGAGGGUGAACGGCCACAUUGGGACUGAGACACGGCCCAGACUCCUACGGGAGGCAGCAGUAGGGAAUUUUCCGCAAUGGACGCAAGUCUGACGGAGCGACGCCGCGUGUGUGAAGAAGGCCUUCGGGUCGUAAAGCACUGUUAUUAGGGAAGAACAAGUCUAAGAGUAACUGCUUAGGCCAUGACGGUACCUAACCAGAAAGUCACGGCUAACUAAGUGCCAGCAGCCGCGGUAAU
This 482-nucleotide ribosomal RNA is filed under the name uncultured bacterium. RNAcentral's name for it is "bacterial SSU rRNA". It matches the Rfam family "Bacterial small subunit ribosomal RNA", at positions 59 to 524 of the family's 1533-position model. The record is from RNAcentral.